This 334-nucleotide ribosomal RNA is filed under the name uncultured bacterium. RNAcentral describes it as "bacterial SSU rRNA". It matches the Rfam family "Bacterial small subunit ribosomal RNA", at positions 28 to 367 of the family's 1533-position model. The record is from RNAcentral.
GAUGAACGCUAGCGGCAGGCUUAACACAUGCAAGUCGAGGGGUAUGGCAGCAAUGCCUGAGACCGGCGCACGGGUGCGUAACGCGUAUGCAAUCUGCCUUUUUACAGAGGGAUAGCCCAGAGAAAUUUGGAUUAAUACCUCAUAGUAUAAUUGAGUGGCAUCAUUUGAUUAUUAAAGAUUUAUCGGUAAAAGAUGAGCAUGCGUCCCAUUAGCAGUUGGUAAGGUAACGGCUUACCAAGGCGACGAUGGGUAGGGGUCCUGAGAGGGAGAUCCCCCACACUGGUACUNAGACACGGACCAGACUCCUACGGGAGGCAGCAGUGAGGAAUAUUGG